Long non-coding RNA from Alligator sinensis (Chinese alligator), 573 nucleotides. RefSeq lists it as uncharacterized. The record is from RefSeq and is a predicted model, not a curated record. NCBI's taxonomy places the organism in Eukaryota, Metazoa, Chordata, Crocodylia, Alligatoridae. The transcript has 3 exons.
CAAAGUACUUCUUUGGUAGAAGAGUGGCUGAGCAGAGAAUAAGACCAAGUCUCCCACCUCUCAAGUUGCAUUUAAGGCUACAGCCGAGAGAGUUUUAAGAACAAGAUUAAGUGGCACAAAUCAGCAUAACUACAUUGACUGGAGUUAAGCUAACCUGUACCAGCUGAAAGUGGGGAUCUCUACAUGAAUUCUACUAACUGUAGGCAGUUGAACUCACUGAAGAGCAACAACUGUGCAAUCAAAGGCUGGGAAGAAGCAGACUGAAACAAAAGCAGGAAUUUAUUUAUUAUUCACUGUAACCCUGGCUGCCAUUCCUAAAUGAUAUGGACCCUCGAAUGACCUUCUAUUGUCCAUUACCCACACUCCACUUCACUUACACCAUUUCUAAUGCUUUUUGUGGUACUGAGUUAUACAUGUGAAUAAUUCACUCUAUAAUGAAGAACUUCCAAAGGAAUAGGCAUCAUUUAUAUUUCUUGCAAGGUAUGCCAGCCUUCUGUACAGAAAUGAAGAUUCUUUUUCCAGCUAAGUGAACAUAGCUUUCCUGUUUCCAUGACCACCAGAUUCCACCUCCCU